CCCUUAGAUGUUCUGGGCCGCACGCGCGCUACACUGACGAUGGCAACGAGUUUUUCCUUCGCCGAAAGGUGUGGGUAAUCUUUUGAAACAUCGUCGUGCUGGGGAUAGAUCAUUGCAAUUUUUGAUCUUGAACGAGGAAUGCCUAGUAGGCGCAAGUCAUCAGCUUGCGUCGAUUACGUCCCUGCCCUUUGUACACACCGCCCGUCGCUCCUACCGAUUGGGUGUGCUGGUGAAAUGUUCGGAUCGGCCGUUUGUCGCGGUUUCCGCGGCUCGUGGCUGAGAAGUUCAUUAAACCCUCCCACCUAGAGGAAGGAGAAGUCGUAACA
Molecule: ribosomal RNA, 326 nt
Filed under: uncultured eukaryote
Lineage: Eukaryota
Description: partial 18S ribosomal RNA
Rfam family: Eukaryotic small subunit ribosomal RNA
Source: RNAcentral